UUGAGUUCCAGAGGUAUCACUUGCCUUUCAAACCAAAAGAAUGACUUUUGUUUUUUCUCCUACAGGGUUGGGUACCUCGCCGGAUGUCUAGUUCGCACACUGCGUGAAAAACAACCAGAGCUGCAGAUAACUGAGCGGGAUACGCUCUGUGUUCAGAUUGCGGGACUUUGCCAUGACCUGGGUCAUGGUCCAUUUUCUCAUAUGUUUGAUGGAAGAUUUAUCCCGCUGGCUCGCCCAGAGGUGAAGUGGACGGUGGGUAUUCAUGCAUUUGCUUAGUUGUAGAAAGACUAUUUAAGGAAACCAUUCACUGGAAUUACCUGUUCUUUCUCAUGAAGGUUUUUGAUGUACUUUCAUUCAUGAGUAUGUAAAACAUGCACACAUUUAUUCCAUCCUCACAGUCAUCUACAAGUCCUUUUGUACACCUAAAAGAGCUUGAAGCUUUCAGAAGCUAACCUGUGUAUCAAAAAUGACAAAGCUGGGCUGUGCCUUGAGCAAAGAAGCUCAGAGACAGUGCUCAGGCCCUGAGUUCAAGCCCCAGGACUGGCAAAAUAAAAAUAAAUAAAUCACAAAGCUGUUCCAGGGUGGAGCCUGCACUGGACAAACAGCUUUCUUACUGUUUAUGUUAUCUUAUGUUUUUUGCUGUUAAUGUUAUGUCAACAUUCCUUCGCCUUUGUCACUACUGUAAAAUAAAAAAGAGGGGUACUUUCAUGAAGUAACUCAUACCAAUCA
Molecule: long non-coding RNA, 729 nt
Organism: Dipodomys ordii (Ord's kangaroo rat)
Lineage: Eukaryota; Metazoa; Chordata; Mammalia; Rodentia; Heteromyidae
Exons: 2
Source: RefSeq, a predicted model, not a curated record